AGAGACAUGCCCUGUCUAGGCAGCUACAGAAAGUCUCACUCCUGUUUCCCUUCUCUCUGUAUCCAGUGGCUGCCCAGCUCCUCCCCCCUCCUGUUGUCCAAGAAUAUAUCAAAACUUGGUCAGCAGUGGCUGGGAGAAGGAAGAAGGCCCAGAAAGUCUGAGUUGAGUUUAUGAAAGUUUUCCACUAAAGUCAGCAACAGCUUAAAUUCAAACCAGGCCCAAGCCGUUCAGUCUCCAUAUGAGUUGUUCAUCAAAGGACCAAAGAGAAGAAAUCUGAGCCUGGAGCAGAGGCUGGCUUAAAGGCUUCCAAGUGAUUCCUUCUGGUUUACCAUGACAUUUGCCAUUAAAACCAAGAUGUGAACGGAGGUCAGAUAUAUAAUCUCAGCCCUUGUGUGUUCUCCUCUCCAGAGCCAGUCAUCUCAUGGCAAGAAAGCUCCAGUCCUGUUAGGACAACACUAGACAUUAGCAAGAAGAAAGAAAGACACAUUAAAGAAGUGCCACUCCAGGUUCUGCAGGUGAGGGUCACACCUCUGCCACUGCUGAUGUGACUUUCUAAGGAAAACCUCACCGACUUUAUGUGAAGUUUCUUGAUCCUCUUAGACUUGAGCUUUCUACAAAGAAAUAAGAAUGGAUCAAUUUGCAUUCUUCUACAUGCUAACCGCCAGUUGAGCCAUCACCAUUUGUUGAAGAUGCCGUCUUCUUUCCACUGGAUGGUUUUAGCUCCUUUGUCAAAGAUCAAGUGACCAUAGAACCCAUCCAUCAAUUUCUCAAUAGAAAGAUGGUGUUUACUGGUGAACUUUAACCUUUCUGAGGUCAAGAGCCCCAGGAAGCAAUUUCCUGGAUUUAGAAAGAUGUUGCCUCCUGCUGUGUAAUCUUCUUGUCCAAAGAGGCCCUAAGACUCGGAACAUCUGGGAUGCUCCAUUAUAGGAGUCAGUGCCCAGAGGAAAGCAGAGUGAAAGCUAACAUUCCUUCCUGGCAGUCCAUAAAACCCGGCUCACUUUUCAGAUCUGUGCCAGCAGGAGGUCAGUAGAAUCAUGCCAUGUGACCUUGCCAGAUGUCUUGUACUACCAUGAGUCCAAAGCAGCAAGGACAAGUGGGCAGAAAACUCUGAAACAGUGAGCCAAAAUACAUCUUCCCUCCGUCUCUCAAGUAUUUAUUAGAAUAGAAGGAAGCUGACUAUCAUGGAGUGCUGUUGAGUGUAUGGUUAACAGCCUGGGUGAGGAUCAUAGAAGCCUGUGUCCAUCUCUGCUCAGCUAAAAGCACUGGAGUGCUUAGAAGUUCUGCAGCCUCCCAUCAGACGCACAUUCUCUGGCUGAAAUCUGACUCUGGCCACCAUGUUUGGACUGUGCCGACUUUGUUUCCCAUUGACCUCCAUUAAUGUUAGUUGUUUGCUUUAUCUACCAUGGCUCCCAGAUGUGUAUUAAACCACAACCCCAUUGUUAUGCAUCAUGAAAAAUGCCCUUCACUAUUGUAAGGUGUGGUAAUAGAGAGGCUUUAAUAUCUUCUUGAUAGGAUAACACCUGAGAAAAAUUCCAUUACCAUAUAUCAAUGCUGAACUCAUAACAAAUGUAUGAAAC
RNAcentral lists this long non-coding RNA (1577 nucleotides) under Mus musculus (house mouse). RNAcentral describes it as "predicted gene, 53018". Lineage: Eukaryota; Metazoa; Chordata; Mammalia; Rodentia; Muridae. The record is from RNAcentral.